RNAcentral lists this ribosomal RNA (433 nucleotides) under uncultured bacterium. RNAcentral's name for it is "partial 16S ribosomal RNA". It matches the Rfam family "Bacterial small subunit ribosomal RNA", at positions 29 to 507 of the family's 1533-position model. The record is from RNAcentral.
AACGAACGCUGGCGGCAUGCCUAACACAUGCAAGUCGAACGAGACCUUCGGGUCUAGUGGCGCACGGGUGCGUAACACGUGGGAAUCUGCCCUUUGCUUCGGAAUAACAGUUAGAAAUGACUGCUAAUACCGGAUGAUGUCGAAAGACCAAAGAUUUAUCGGCAAAGGAUGAGCCCGCGUAGGAUUAGGUAGUUGGUGGGGUAAAGGCCUACCAAGCCGACGAUCUUUAGCUGGUCUGAGAGGAUGAUCAGCCACACUGGGACUGAGACACGGCCCAGACUCCUACGGGAGGCAGCAGUGGGGAAUAUUGGACAAUGGGCGAAAGCCUGAUCCAGCAAUGCCGCGUGAGUGAUGAAGGCCUUAGGGUUGUAAAGCUCUUUUACCAGGGAUGAUAAUGACAGUACCUGGAGAAUAAGCUCCGGCUAACUCCGUG